This 129-nucleotide non-coding RNA is filed under the name Triparma pacifica. Lineage: Eukaryota; Bolidophyceae; Parmales; Triparmaceae. The record is from RNAcentral.
AGAAGAAGUGGACCACCAGGGAGGCCGCCCUCAACAUGAUCACUGAGUUCAACACCGUCGCCCCCAAGCAGCUCGGCGCCGCCCUCCCCGAGAUCGUCCCCGAGGUCACCGCUUGCAUGUGGGACACCA